GACGAACGCUGGCGGCGUGCCUAAUACAUGCAAGUCGAGCGAACGGACGAGAAGCUUGCUUCUCUGACGUUAGCGGCGGACGGGUGAGUAACACGUGGAUAACCUACCUAUAAGACUGGGAUAACUUCGGGAAACCGUAGCUAAUACCGGAUAAUAUUUUGAACCGCAUGGUUCAAAAGUGAAAGACGGUCUUGCUGUCACUUAUAGAUGGAUCCGCGCUGCAUUAGCUAGUUGGUAAGGUAACGGCUUACCAAGGCAACGAUGCAUAGCCGACCUGAGAGGGUGAUCGGCCACACUGGAACUGAGACACGGUCCAGACUCCUACGGGAGGCAGCAGUAGGGAAUCUUCCGCAAUGGGCGAAAGCCUGACGGAGCAACGCCGCGUGAGUGAUGAAGGUCUUCGGAUCGUAAAACUCUGUUAUUAGGGAAGAACAUAUGUGUAAGUAACUGUGCACAUCUUGACGGUACCUAAUCAGAAAGCCACGGCUAACUACGUGCCAGCAGCCGCGGUAAUACGUAGGUGGCAAGCGUUAUCCGGAAUUAUUGGGCGUAAAGCGCGCGUAGGCGGUUUUUUAAGUCUGAUGUGAAAGCCCACGGCUCAACCGUGGAGGGUCAUUGGAAACUGGAAAACUUGAGUGCAGAAGAGGAAAGUGGAAUUCCAUGUGUAGCGGUGAAAUGCGCAGAGAUAUGGAGGAACACCAGUGGCGAAGGCGACUUUCUGGUCUGUAACUGACGCUGAUGUGCGAAAGCGUGGGGAUCAAACAGGAUUAGAUACCCUGGUAGUCCACGCCGUAAACGAUGAGUGCUAAGUGUUAGGGGGUUUCCGCCCCUUAGUGCUGCAGCUAACGCAUUAAGCACUCCGCCUGGGGAGUACGACCGCAAGGUUGAAACUCAAAGGAAUUGACGGGGACCCGCACAAGCGGUGGAGCAUGUGGUUUAAUUCGAAGCAACGCGAAGAACCUUACCAAAUCUUGACAUCCUUUGACAACUCUAGAGAUAGAGCCUUCCCCUUCGGGGGACAAAGUGACAGGUGGUGCAUGGUUGUCGUCAGCUCGUGUCGUGAGAUGUUGGGUUAAGUCCCGCAACGAGCGCAACCCUUAAGCUUAGUUGCCAUCAUUAAGUUGGGCACUCUAAGUUGACUGCCGGUGACAAACCGGAGGAAGGUGGGGAUGACGUCAAAUCAUCAUGCCCCUUAUGAUUUGGGCUACACACGUGCUACAAUGGACAAUACAAAGGGCAGCGAAACCGCGAGGUCAAGCAAAUCCCAUAAAGUUGUUCUCAGUUCGGAUUGUAGUCUGCAACUCGACUACAUGAAGCUGGAAUCGCUAGUAAUCGUAGAUCAGCAUGCUACGGUGAAUACGUUCCCGGGUCU
This 1372-nucleotide ribosomal RNA is filed under the name uncultured bacterium. RNAcentral describes it as "bacterial SSU rRNA". It matches the Rfam family "Bacterial small subunit ribosomal RNA", at positions 28 to 1381 of the family's 1533-position model. The record is from RNAcentral.